This 598-nucleotide ribosomal RNA is filed under the name uncultured Variovorax sp. RNAcentral's name for it is "bacterial SSU rRNA". It matches the Rfam family "Bacterial small subunit ribosomal RNA", at positions 76 to 670 of the family's 1533-position model. Lineage: Bacteria; Pseudomonadati; Pseudomonadota; Betaproteobacteria; Burkholderiales; Comamonadaceae. The record is from RNAcentral.
GGGGGCACCCUGGUGGCGAGUGGCGAACGGGUGAGUAAUACAUCGGAACGUGCCCAGUCGUGGGGGACAACUACGCGAAAGCGUAGCUAAUACCGCAUACGAUCUACGGAUGAAAGCGGGGGAUCGCAAGACCUCGCGCGAUUGGAGCGGCCGAUGGCAGAUUAGGUAGUUGGUGGGGUAAAGGCCUACCAAGCCGACGAUCUGUAGCUGGUCUGAGAGGACGACCAGCCACACUGGGACUGAGACACGGCCCAGACUCCUACGGGAGGCAGCAGUGGGGAAUUUUGGACAAUGGGCGCAAGCCUGAUCCAGCCAUUCCGCGUGCAGGAUGAAGGCCCUCGGGUUGUAAACUGCUUUUGUACGGAACGAAACGGUGCUCGUUAAUACCGAGCGCUAAUGACGGUACCGUAAGAAUAAGCACCGGCUAACUACGUGCCAGCAGUCGCGGUAAUACGUAGGGUGCGAGCGUUAAUCGGAAUUACCGGGCGUAAAGCGUGCGCAGGCGGUGAUGUAAGACAGAUGUGAAAUCCCCGGGCUCAACCUGGGAACUGCAUUUGUGACUGCAUCGCUGGAGUGCGGCAGAGGGGGAUGGAAUUCC